This 253-nucleotide ribosomal RNA is filed under the name uncultured bacterium. Its description in RNAcentral is "partial 16S ribosomal RNA". It matches the Rfam family "Bacterial small subunit ribosomal RNA", at positions 524 to 776 of the family's 1533-position model. The record is from RNAcentral.
UACGAGGGGGGCAACUGUUGUUCGGAAUCACUGGGCGUAAAGGGAGCGUAGGCGGGCUUCUAAGUUAGAUGUUUAAUCCCGGGGCCCAACCCCGGACAGGCACCUAAAACUGGAAGUCUUGAAUAGUGGAGAGGACGGCGGAAUUGGGGGUGUAGCGGUGGAAUGCGUAGAGAUCCCCAAGAACACCAGUUGCGAAGGCGGCCGUCUGGACACAUAUUGACGCUGAGGCUCGAAAGCAUGGGGAGCAAACAGG